AUGAUUCCAUUCUUUGCAUUUUCUUCGCUCAUGACAAUGUCUCACCAUCUCAGUCUCGUAUCUUCUUUGAACGACGCGACUCAAGCUUCUCAUCUCGCAGCUCAGACUUCUCGUCAUCGCUUCUGUUCGAUUUUACCACGGGCACCUCCACCUUCUUCUCCUUCGCACUUCGCUUCAUACGGAGCAGCUCAUCCGUCAACAUCUUCGCCUCAGCUUCGAUUCCGCUUAUUCACUCUCAGUCUCAUUCGCGGUUGUGUUUCAGCUUCAUAA
Vicia faba (fava bean) is the source of this 270-nucleotide non-coding RNA. The record is from the annotation of a GenBank genome assembly. Lineage: Eukaryota; Viridiplantae; Streptophyta; Magnoliopsida; Fabales; Fabaceae.